GAUGAACGCUGGCGGCGUGCCUAAUACAUGCAAGUAGAACGCUGAAGGAAGGAUCUUGCUCUUUCCGGGUGAGUUGCGAACGGGUGAGUAACGCGUAAGUAACCUGCCUGGUAGCGGGGGAUAACUAUUGGAAACGAUAGCUAAUACCGCAUAACAGUAGAUGUUGCAUGAUAUCUACUUAAAAGUUGCAAUUGCACCACUACCAUAUGGACCUUCGGUGUAUUAGCUAGUUGGUGAGGUAACGACUCACCAAGGCGUCGAUACAUCGCCGACCUGAGAGGGUGAGCGGCCACACUGGGAAGGAGAAGCGGCCCAGAGUGCUACGGGAGGCAGCAGUAGGGCAACUGCGGCAAAGGACGGGAGACUGACCGAGAAGGGCCGCGGAAGUGAAGACGGUUUUCGGGUGGGAAAGAUCGGUUGUAAGGGAAGAAAGAGUGUGAGAGUGGAAAGUUCACAAUGUGACGGUAUCUUACCAGAAAGAGACGGCUAACUACGUG
This 497-nucleotide ribosomal RNA is filed under the name uncultured bacterium. RNAcentral describes it as "partial 16S ribosomal RNA". It matches the Rfam family "Bacterial small subunit ribosomal RNA", at positions 28 to 507 of the family's 1533-position model. The record is from RNAcentral.